This 260-nucleotide unclassified non-coding RNA is filed under the name Hevea brasiliensis (rubber tree). The record is from RNAcentral. Lineage: Eukaryota; Viridiplantae; Streptophyta; Magnoliopsida; Malpighiales; Euphorbiaceae.
GCCUCAUUUGCUUUUGCUUCUUCUAAGUCAGUCCUUAAACGUUUUUCCAAUUGUAAGCGCCAAGUGAGUUCCUCUACUUGUUUCUCAAGUUUAUUUUUGGCCUCCUUUAGUGCACCAGUUUCCCUUGCUGCCAUUUUAAGCUUCCUAAGCUCCCUCCUGGCAACUCUUCCCCUCCAUCUGGUUUGCGAGACAAUUGCUCCUUUCUUGAGCCUAUUGUAGUAGGAAACAGCUCUAUGACAGCGCCACCGGGUCUGAAUAGU